This 455-nucleotide long non-coding RNA is filed under the name Lathyrus oleraceus (garden pea). RNAcentral describes it as "Pisum sativum (pea) long non-coding RNA (PSAT_LNC023466)". The record is from RNAcentral. Lineage: Eukaryota; Viridiplantae; Streptophyta; Magnoliopsida; Fabales; Fabaceae.
AUAAUAAUCAAAUUAAUUUAUUCUAAAGGAGAUCAAAAACUUCCACACAUUAUGUUGAUGGGUGAAUAAAAAGCUUUAACCAAAGGCAGUAUUUUAAACCGCAUCCAGAGUUCACACAUUCACACAUCCAGAAUUUACGCAACGAAAAGACUGUGUUCAACCCAAAAUAUAAACAAAACUCAUAAUUCCUUAACCAAAUUCUGGGAAUAUAUAAUCAACAAAGCAAACCUCAUGUUCCCAACUUUACAAUCAUCAAUAUUCUGAGCAUAACAUUCUUACUGAAUUAGAAUAACACAUAAACCUGAAUCAGCCAACAUUAAUCUAAUGGUCUCAAAGCUAACCCACAAUAAGUCCAUCAAAAUUCGAAACUCAUUCGUUGCAAAAACUGGUUUUGAAACGUCAACCUUAAAGAAGAAACAUGCUGUUAUGAUUUCCCAAUUCAGAAUAACACUUAA